UGUUUUGAAGUCAUGCUGCUUCUUCAGUUAAUAACUUUUCUCAGCGAAUUUUCACAAACUUACAAUGUUCCACGAAUGUGUUCAGUUGAAAAAUACCUUUAGAAAUAUAUAGUGCUCUCAUGAAUUCAUUGAUAAGGUGAUUUUUUAAGGAUUUUUUUUGAAUUUUAACCGAUUUUCCAUACUAAUUUCCAUAUAAACUUUGAAAUUUUUGGAGGUUCCGUAGACAACCGAUCGGUACCAAAAUUUGCACAAUUACUAAGGGCCAAUAGAGCCUGGUGGAGCUAAAAGUCAAAAAUUGAACCAAUCUAAGGUCCAUGCCUUCAAUUGGACCAAUUAAAAAAGAAUCCUCUCAUAUCCACUAGACAACAAGUUCCAUGGCGAUAUGACCGAGAACUCUAGUGAUAUGGGGUAACUCACUCUCUGUCAGAAUGCACUCACUCCCUGUCAGAAUGCACCGAAAACUAAAUAUCAGAAUGGCGGUCCGUGUGACCAUCCCAGAACACAAGCGAAUAUGUGAAUGGAACCACAAUUUUAAAAUCGAAUUUAUACACGCGAGCACAUUCCUCCCCAAGGUUGAGGGGUUUGACGCUAUUGCAAACAUCAUCAAGCAUAUCGCGUGCGUUAGUGCUACAGAACCUUUGACAGCCAAUUGCUUUAAAAUUUACGCCUCGAUAGUGGUGCAUCGAGGCGACCGAGAGGGCUUAAGCGCCUUUUUUUAUCGGUCGACUUCGUCAUCGUGCAUGGACUAAUUAAAUUAAUUUAAUAUUUAAAUUAAUUUAAUAAAUAUAUAAGUAGAAACCUAUUAGUUGUCGUUUUGUAAUAAUCGUAGUUUUUCGUACUAGUGUAUAAUUGCUAUGUACUAGUCGUGUGUAUGUGUUCGUCUUAGUAUUUGUGACAUUUGGGUCAGGGAAUGGAUGCGGAACUAGCAUAUAAUACUUCUGGUAUUCAAUUUGUGCAUUUGGUUCUAUUCUUUCGAGGUUAGAUUGGAUAAAUUAGGGUAUAAUGAAUUUACCGACGCACGUGAAUCAUCCAUUCCGGUCAGCACAGCAUGAUGAAAGUCUAACAAAAUGCGAUCGUCGUUAAUGGUGUUGAACGUGAUCAUGGAGUUCGGUAAUUUAUUUGUUUUCGUGACACUUAUUCAGGACUUUUUUUGGUAGAAUUGUUUACACCUGAUUUCCAUGAUAGUCCACCCUGGACACUAAUCCAGACACAUUAACCUGCCCAGAAACCAGUGUCAUGCAAACUCGUUCGGGUCCAAAUGCUUUCCGAGUUUCAAAGUUUUGCGAUCGUCUAAAUAUUUCAAAUUAAUGGUAACGAUAAACUUUGUCGGAUAGAAAAACUUUCAGUAUAGUAAUAGUCUGUAUCACCUGGCAAUCUGACUUCCUUGAAUAGCACAAACCGUUGUCAUUUUAUAUCCUUGCAUUAUGGAAAUUGUGCAAAACUCGGCAGGAUACGACCAGCACCGAGCUAUAUGACAAUUGGUAGUGGUCGAAAAAUGCAAGUGUUACUCCGGAGCUCCUAUUGAACCACUAAUAAUCUAAUCGUUGUACAAUUAUUUCGUGGUUAAUUUGUGUGGAAAUGAACCACUACGGCAGCCGAUACACGUCGUUCGCCUUUGCUAGUGGAGGGAUCGCUGGCAGAGGCGGUGCCCGAGGGGAACUGAGCAGUGGAAAUUUGAGCAGAAAGCUGAGUAGUCCGAUGGCAGAGUCGACACAGCUGGACAGCAGCGGUAUUCGGGGGAAUCUUUACGACAGUCCGGUACGACAGGUUGGAGUUAGGAAAAGAAGCCUACCUCUCCGUUGCAAAAUAGCAGGACAAAUUUUAGAAGCAGCUGAACGGCGUCCGGGUCCAGUAUGGAUCGAUUGAUUGAUCCUAAGAUUUACGCGGAUGUUCAGAGCCGAGGAUUGGUUAACCGGUUGGUAAAGUACCACGAUGAAACGCAAUCGCCGUUAAAUAAGAGUCAAUCGAUGACUAGCCUGUACUCGAAGCCGGGUCAAUUUCCUGUGUGGUGGAGGAGAAACAAUUCUUCGAUAGCUACCAUUGGUUCGGAGUUUCCCGUCAGAGAAGUCCGUGUUUCAGGCUGACACAAGGUGGAACAUUUUACGGGAGGGAUCGUUGCUCAUUCCGGCGGAACCUCAUCUGAAGAUGGUCCAAACACAUAGACACGAGGAUGAGAUUGAUGCGGAAAAUAGUGUGAUUGCGCCUUCAACAGAACUGGAUGCCGAUUGGAUUAAGAAACAAUGUAAGGAGGUUGAUUCAGGCGAAGCUGGUACGAAGCAAGCUCGGGAAAUUACAUACACGGCUUCGCCCCCGUGUCGAGGGUCGGCGAAUCAGCAGCUGCAGACGAAGAAAUUAUGUAGUAAAAAUAAUAUCUCAAGUUCACUUAGCUCGAGCCUAGUGAUGAACACUCCGAAAGUGGAACACGUAGCGCACCGACCGGCACGAUUAAAUGUGGAUGUCUUUCUCGACGCCGGCAACAUUGAAUGCGACGGUUCCAGUUAGCAUGAUUGAAUCGAGCAAGCCGGCAAAAUUAAGUAGGAUUGAUUCCGCUCCUUUGCCACAGAUUACGAGAAUUUUUCCGGAGUUUCAACUGCCUCUGAUGAAAUAUCCGCCACUAAAACUAACGUUUAACAAGAAAUAUAACGUCCAUGACAUGACGAAACGGUGGUUCGACCCCCGUCCACAGACAGUGAAGGAUGAUGAUGAUAAAGUAGGCGGACGAAUCAGUUUCAUUAAGCCAAAGGAUAAAUCGCCUAUUAUGAGCAAUGCCAAGGUUGUCCUGAAGAGGUUCGAGCGCUCGAAAUCAUCGUUGAUUCUGAGCUGCUUGAGUGAUGAUUUUGAUGAAGACGAGGAAUCGCCUAUAGUUAGGCCAUCGCAGGGUUCAUUUUAUACGAUAGACACCACGGAUGCACCACCGAAGGUUGAAGAGAAGAAACGGCUUCCGUCCCGAUAAUGAGCGGUAUUUCAGCAAUAGUUAAUAGCCCGAUCAAGGAUCCUGGCCUAGGUAAAAUUGAUCCAUCGAAACCGGUGGAAAAUGUAAAAACGAUAGAGCAACCGAAGUAACCCACGGGAUUUGCUUUCGGAAGUACAACUGCUACCGUCAGCUAGGCUCCGGUUACAGCACAUCAAACCGAUACAUAAUUUGCAUUUGGGACGCCCACUUAACCGGUUACUGCUAAAAUCAAAUCAUCGGAAAUACCACGUAUCGUUUUCCUGUGCUUGGAUUUCGAUACGUACGGAAUCGGACGGUAUUUAUCGCCGAUACCAUUUUAUCGGGAAAUAAUGCGAUUCGAGGUAUUAAUCACACGCCUACAUCAAAAAAUUAUAUACUUUGCAACUAAUAUUUUAAAAA
Topomyia yanbarensis is the source of this 3352-nucleotide RNA transcript. RefSeq lists it as uncharacterized. NCBI's taxonomy places the organism in Eukaryota, Metazoa, Arthropoda, Insecta, Diptera, Culicidae. The record is from RefSeq and is a predicted model, not a curated record. The transcript is spliced from 4 exons.